AAAUGAAUAGACGGGGGCCCGCACAAGCGGUGGAGUAUGUGGUUUAAUUCGAUGCAACGCGAAGAACCUUACCCAGGCUUGACAUCUGGGGGACCCUUGCGAAAGUGAGGGGUGCCCUUCGGGGAGCCCCAAGACAGGUGCUGCAUGGCUGUCGUCAGCUCGUGCCGUGAGGUGUUGGGUUAAGUCCCGCAACGAGCGCAACCCUUGUCUUCAGUUGCCAUCGGGUAAAGCCGGGCACUUUGGAGAGACCGCCCCGGUCAACGGGGAGGAAGGUGGGGACGACGUCAAGUCAUCAUGGCCCUUACGCCUGGGGCAACACACGUACUACAAUGGCGCGCACAAAGGGCAGCAAUCCCGCGAGGAGGAGCCAAUCCCAAAAAACGCGUCUCAGUCCGGACUGCAGUCUGCAACUCGACUGCACGAAGUCGGAAUCGCUAGUAAUUCGAGAUCAGCAUGCUCGGGUGAAUGCGUUCCCGGGCCUUGUACACACCGCCCGU
This 497-nucleotide ribosomal RNA is filed under the name uncultured bacterium. RNAcentral describes it as "bacterial SSU rRNA". It matches the Rfam family "Bacterial small subunit ribosomal RNA", at positions 903 to 1397 of the family's 1533-position model. The record is from RNAcentral.